UGUGCAGGCGGGCUGGCAUGUCGGUGGUGAAAGCCCUCGGCUUAACCGAGGAAGUGCUGCCGAAACUACCAGUCUUGAGGGCGGAAGAGGAAACUGGAACUUCUGGUGUAGCGGUAAAAUGCGUAGAUAUCAGAAGGAACGCCGAUAGCGAAGGCAGGUUUCUGGGACGUUCCUGACGCUGAAACACGAAAGCUAGGGGAGCAAACAGGAUUAGAUACCCUGGUAGUCCUAGCUGUAAACGAUGUACAUUAGGCGUGGGGAGUUUUCCCCGUGCCGGAGCCGACGCGUUAAAUGUACCGCCUGGGGACUACGGCCGCAAGGUUGAA
RNAcentral lists this ribosomal RNA (326 nucleotides) under uncultured bacterium. Its description in RNAcentral is "bacterial SSU rRNA". It matches the Rfam family "Bacterial small subunit ribosomal RNA", at positions 568 to 898 of the family's 1533-position model. The record is from RNAcentral.